Molecule: unclassified non-coding RNA, 223 nt
Filed under: plant metagenome
Description: partial contains small subunit ribosomal RNA, internal transcribed spacer 1, and 5.8S ribosomal RNA
Source: RNAcentral
UUUCCGUAGGUGAACCUGCGGAAGGAUCAUUACAGUGUUCUCUGCCCUCACGGGUAGAAACGCCCACCCUUGUGUAUUAUAUCUUUGUUGCUUUGGCAGGCCGCCCUCGGGCACCGGCUCCGGCUGGAUCGCGCCUGCCAGAGGAAACCCAAACUCUGAAUGUUAGUGUCGUCUGAGUACUAUCUAAUAGUUGAAACUUUCAACAACGGAUCUCUUGGUUCUG